UUAAGGAGCCCAGGAAGUGUGAAAGACAAUUUAGGUUGAUGUGUGUUUGUCUCUCCAGGUAAACUUUUGUGUCCCCAGAGAGGAGAGUCUCUGCAUUUCUGUCUCCCCAAGUGUUAUUGGGCUCCUUGGAUCAAAUUAGAAGGUGCUAUGAACCAAUAUACUGUUGCUAGUGUCACCAUUAAGGAACUAAAUCAACUCCAGUAUUUCUUCCAGUUUCUCCCAGCUUCCUGCAUUACUUGUCUCGUGGUCCCGUUUUCACAUCACAUCAACCAUGUUUCUGUUGAAGCAUCUCCUUCCAUUCAGAAAGACAACCUUACUGUGGUUUUAGGAAACACGUGUGACUAUAUUGGCAUCCUCAAUACUUUCCAUUUCAAGAUACUUACUUUAAAGGGGUCUGCAAAGUUCUAGUUUUCCAUAAAAAGUACUCACAGGGUUUAAAGACUGAGGUGUGUGGAACCACCACUCUACCACUGAAUGAGCAGAGAUUAACAAAUAGUACGGGUGGUGUAGGGCAUUGGAUCAGACCCUCCUGCUUUAUUCAGAGUGGAGGUUCUUGUGGAGCAAGCAGUUCAGGAUCAGCAUCAUUUGGUAAGUACUCAAGCUUGAAUACGCAGAAUGGGAAGCAGCCUUGGCAACAGUACCAAUGCACAGCUCCAGGGUAAAAGUCAGACGCUGUCGAAAGCAGGGGGUGAACAGAGACCCUUUCCUGCUCUUGGGAGCAGCUGACUUGCAUUUAUUCUUUGUCCAAGAGAAAUGUCACUGAGAGACCUAUCCAUUCUUUGAAGGUUAAAUUAUCAUUUUUAAUAUCACUCUGUAUUUAACUUGUUUGGUCUUAUCAUUGUUCAAAAUGGG
RNAcentral lists this long non-coding RNA (852 nucleotides) under Mus spicilegus (steppe mouse). Its description in RNAcentral is "lncRNA (ENSMSIG00000023714.1)". Lineage: Eukaryota; Metazoa; Chordata; Mammalia; Rodentia; Muridae. The record is from RNAcentral.